CAUAAGGUACUAACAUUUCAAAAGUUGCACAAAGGGUACUGAACUUGUUAUAGGAGGUAAACAAUCCGGUGAAAACUUGUUAAACCGGUUGGAACAAGUUUUUGGUUUAUUAAAAAAAGGAAAAAUAAUUAAAUAGGGAUACGUGUGCUUCGGGAAGGGAAAAAAAAGGCUAAUUUGUACAUUAGGAAACGAAAAACAUCAUUACUUUUCACCUUUCUCCCUCUUUAACACACUCACUCUUCCAAGCACCAAGAAAUCAUGAAAAUGGUGGAAACUUCAAUUUCAACCUAUUUUGCUUGUUUUUCAAUUGCUUCUAUGAAAACUAAAACCUCCCCAUUUCCAUUACUCUCCCAAAGAAGCUCAAGUAAAUCGAUUGUUUCCGUACUAUCCAAUUACUCCUGUGAUUAUUCAUCUAUUUUUGAUGCAAGGUGGAGAAGAUGGCUAUGGAGAUGAGUAUAUAUGGAAGUCGGUUUUUUUGGAGUUGUACCAGCUAUAAUUUAUUUAACUGAUAGAUUUCUUGAACAAUUGCAAACCUCAGUCCCCUCUUUAUUAAUGUCAGAAUUUUAUUUUUCCAUUUUUUUUUGUUUGGUUAACCUUUUGUAGAAGGUCAAUUAUGUGGUGAGUACUCUAUCUGCAACUUUUGAAACGUUAGUACCUUAUGUGCAACUUUUGGCAAA
Long non-coding RNA from Chenopodium quinoa (quinoa), 677 nucleotides. RefSeq lists it as uncharacterized. The transcript is spliced from 3 exons. The record is from RefSeq and is a predicted model, not a curated record. NCBI's taxonomy places the organism in Eukaryota, Viridiplantae, Streptophyta, Magnoliopsida, Caryophyllales, Amaranthaceae.